This 460-nucleotide ribosomal RNA is filed under the name uncultured bacterium. Its description in RNAcentral is "partial 16S ribosomal RNA". It matches the Rfam family "Bacterial small subunit ribosomal RNA", at positions 338 to 795 of the family's 1533-position model. The record is from RNAcentral.
CCUACGGGUGGCAGCAGUGAGGAAUAUUGGUCAAUGGGCGCGAGCCUGAACCAGCCAAGUAGCGUGAAGGAUGAAUGCCCUACGGGUUGUAAACUUCUUUUAUAAAGGAAUAAAGUGAGGCACGAGUGCCUUUUUGUAUGUACUUUAUGAAUAAGGAUCGGCUAACUCCGGGCCAGCAGCCGAGGUAAUACGGAGGAUCCGAGCGUUAUCCGGAUUGAUUGGGUUUAAAGGGAGCGUAGAUGGGUUGUUAAGUCAGUUGUGAAAUUUUGCGGCUCAACCGUAAAAUUGCAAUUGAUACUGGCAGUCUUGAGUACAGUUGAGGUAGGCAGAAUUCGUGGUGUAGCGGUGAAAUGCUUAGAUAUCACGAAGAACUCCGAUUGCGAAGGCAGCUUACUAAACUGCCACUGACAUUGAUGCUCGAAAGUGUGGGUAUCAAACAGGAUUAGAUACCCUUGUAGUC